AGAUUGAACGCUGGCGGCAGGCCUAACACAUGCAAGUCGAGCGGCAGCACGGGUACUUGUACCUGGUGGCGAGCGGCGGACGGGUGAGUAAUGCCUAGGAAUCUGCCUGAUAGUGGGGGAUAACGUUCGGAAACGGACGCUAAUACCGCAUACGUCCUACGGGAGAAAGUGGGGGAUCUUCGGACCUCACGCUAUCAGAUGAGCCUAGGUCGGAUUAGCUAGUUGGUAGGGUAAAGGCCUACCAAGGCUACGAUCCGUAACUGGUCUGAGAGGAUGAU
RNAcentral lists this ribosomal RNA (278 nucleotides) under uncultured soil bacterium. RNAcentral's name for it is "partial 16S ribosomal RNA". It matches the Rfam family "Bacterial small subunit ribosomal RNA", at positions 26 to 304 of the family's 1533-position model. The record is from RNAcentral.